RNAcentral lists this ribosomal RNA (516 nucleotides) under uncultured eukaryote. RNAcentral describes it as "bacterial SSU rRNA". It matches the Rfam family "Eukaryotic small subunit ribosomal RNA", at positions 22 to 548 of the family's 1831-position model. The record is from RNAcentral.
AGUGAUAUGCUCGUCUCAAAGACUAAGCCAUGCAUGUCUAAGUGUAAGCCUCUACACGGUGAAACUGCGAAUGGCUCAUUAAAACAGUUAUGAUUUUCUUGACAACCUACGCUACAUGGAUACCUUUGGUAAUUCUAGAGCUAAUACAUGUCAACAGACCCGACGUCCGAAGGGUUGCGCCUAUUAGAUACGACACUUACUGUCUUCUGGCAGUCUUGCUGACUCAUAGUACUCAGCGAAUCGCAUGCUUCGGCAGCGAUGUGUCAUCCAAAUUUCUGACCUAUCAGCUUUCGACGGUAGGGUAUUGGCCUACCGUUGCUUUGACGGGUAACGGAGAAUUAGGGUUCGGUUCCGGAGAGGGAGCCUGAGAAACGGCUACCACAUCUAAGGAAGGCAGCAGGCGCGCAAAUUACCCAAUCCUGAUCCAGGGAGGUAGUGACAAGAAAUAACAAUACUGGACCUUUCAGGUUUAGUAAUUGGAAUGAGAACAACCCAAAACCCUUAUCAAGUAUCAAU